CGCCCUGUGGCGCGUGGGAGUUGGAUUUGCAAGCGAGCUUAGGAGGGCAGCGGUAGUUCAGCAUUAGCAUAUAGCAUUAGCAUAUCCUAGUCUUUAGCAUAUCUUUUAGUGUUAUAAAUACUUAUUUAGUGUUAGCUUGGCUGUUGGAUAUUGUAGUUUAGUUAGUGUUUGGCUGUUAGCGUAAUUGGGAAAGUAUUUCGGUUUUAGUGUUCAUAUCGUCUUAGUAUUGGUGAGAUGGUGUAAUGUAGUAUGCUUGCGGUGACUCUGUGGGCAUUUUACCCGCGAUUCUGCACGUCUCCGUUUGAAGAGGGAGGCUGCCCACCGUGGCUCUUCCGCGAUUUAGAUGCAGCCCACCGACUCUGCUCCCCCACCACGGCGGGCUCCAGUCUGAGGCUAAAUCUACCCAAGACACUGGUUGUCAGACUGAUUUAGCUGCAAGAAUGCACUUGUCCAGGCUGAUGUGAAACCUUCCCUGUAGCAAAGCCAGUCAGAAUGGAGUUCACAGCCGCAGUGUGUCUGGUGACCCACGGUGACCAUGAUGAAAAUUCAUCUUCCAGAAAGUCCCAGAGCGUCCAGACCCCCUGAAAAGACCAAGAUGUAAGGUGUCUGCUGUUGAUUCCAGCUUCCACCUCAGUGACAGUGCAAGCUCAGUGAACUGUUCAAGCCUGGCUGAUCACCUGAUAACUCCUGUCAUCUGGUUAUGACAGCAUGAGGAUGUCCUCACACACCUGUAACCUAUCAGCUCAUCUGGCAGAAUAGAGAGAAGAGACAACACCACAUCUCCUGUUCCUGGAAAGCCUUCAGCCAUCCUUUGAUGACUGAGAACCUCCAUCAGCUCUGUCUCCUGUCUGCCUACAAUUAUUAUAAUAAAUAUUGUGUUUGACAAGUUUU
Nothobranchius furzeri (turquoise killifish) is the source of this 891-nucleotide non-coding RNA. The record is from RefSeq and is a predicted model, not a curated record. Lineage: Eukaryota; Metazoa; Chordata; Actinopteri; Cyprinodontiformes; Nothobranchiidae.